GUAGUCUCGCACAGAUGCAUAUCAAUAAGCGGAGGAAAAGAAACUAACAAGGAUUCCCCUAGUAACGGCGAGUGAAGCGGGAAGAGCUCAAAUUUGAAAUCUUAAAGGGUUUCCCUUUACGAAUUGUAGUUUAAAGAAGUGUUUUCUGUUGAGGUUUUGGUAAAAGUUCUUUGGAAUAGGACAUCAUAGAGGGUGAGAAUCCCGUAUUUGACCUUUACUUUCAACUUUGUGAUACACUUUCAAAGAGUCGGAUUGUUUGGGAAUGCAGUCCAAAAUGGGUGGUAAAUUUCAUCUAAAGCUAAAUAUUGGCGAGAGACCGAUAGCGAACAAGUACCGUGAGGGAAAGAUGAAAAGAACUUUGAAAGGAGAGUUAAACAGUACGUGAAAUUGUCAAAAGGGAAGCGUUUGACACCAGUGUUGUUUUUCUGAAAAUCAAUUAAAGAACUGUUUAUGCUAAGUUGUUUAGACUUUAUCAGCUAACUGUUUAGUUUUGAGCUUUUCUUUAAUGCACUUUUCAGUUAACAAGUCAACAUCAAUUUCUUUUGCUGUAAAAAAGCUUGAGGAAGGUGGCUUGAGAUUCGUCUUAAGUGUUUAUAGCCUCUUGCCUAUGCAGUCGGAGAGAUUGAGGUCUGCAGCGUAGAUCCUUCGGGGCUAAAUGCAUUUGUGCUAAGUUAUAGCAUUUUAUACACAACUUGUUGACUAUGAUUUGUCUUGUAGCUUACUCGCUUAUGUUAUUUUACCUACGCUUAGGAUGUUGAAGACUCUACAGAGAU
Molecule: ribosomal RNA, 773 nt
Filed under: uncultured Neocallimastigales
Lineage: Eukaryota; Fungi; Neocallimastigomycota; Neocallimastigomycetes; Neocallimastigales
Description: partial large subunit ribosomal RNA
Rfam family: Eukaryotic large subunit ribosomal RNA
Source: RNAcentral